Lathyrus oleraceus (garden pea) is the source of this 1099-nucleotide long non-coding RNA. RefSeq lists it as uncharacterized. The record is from RefSeq and is a predicted model, not a curated record. The transcript is spliced from 2 exons. Lineage: Eukaryota; Viridiplantae; Streptophyta; Magnoliopsida; Fabales; Fabaceae.
CAGCUUGCACUCCCUCCUCACGUUCCUCUCUCCCUCACUCUUCCUCUCUCUCACACGUUACUCUCUCUGACAAUAUAAAAAAAGGAAAACAAAAAGAAAGGAGGAGAUACUCAUGACUCUCUCUUCACUAAAAAAAAUAAAAGUGAAAAAGGAGAGUUCACUCGUAUACACCACGGGUCCGAGAGAAAAACGAAAAAAAAUUUAAAAGAAAACUUUGUUCCUCUUCUUGCAGGAGCAGUGAAACCAUCACUCCAAAACCCACUGAACUUCCUCUUCUUCACACCACGAGUCCGCCGGCGACUGCGAACACAAAACGGAAACCCCUUUCGUCCGCCGUCCAACAACACACAUCCACCGCGCGCCACCAUUUCACUUCCACACCUACCGCCAUACACCCCAUCACCAUAACAACCUCUUGGCACAAUCACAAAAGGCAACAACUAUCAUGUUCUUUACGGUGCGUGGUGCUGCGAUUUCAUUUCGAAUCCACCGUAUUUCCACGAAAUAUCCAAACUCCGCCGUCGAGAUCCUCCGUCUCACAUCUUAGAGACCACCUCAGAUCCAACACGCCUCCUUCCUUGCAGAUUCGAAAAACCCUCCGACGAACUCUCGAACUCACUAUUCGCCGCCUAUCUAUCUUCAAAAUUUCGAUUGAGAAUUACUGCAUCAAGACGAGCGCCACCACCGUAAUUUCUCCAACCAUACUCAAAGUUGGCAUCUUCCUAAUGUUGUUCCUUUCACUACACCAGAGGGACUAGGAGAACCGCUUUUACGGUUGGAAACGAAGACUACCGCUGACCGGAUCUGGAGAUGAUUGAGGACUUUGUUGCAUAUAGUCAUUGAAUAAUUCAUGUUUCAUGAAGUAAUUGGUCCAUGUUUUUUUGUUUUUUUUGCUAUUACUUCUAUUAUGUAAAACAAAAGAGAUUGCUAGUUUGGUAGGUGAUUGAUUCUAUAUUAUGGAUAGACAAGUUUGUUUACAAUCUAUAUAGUAGAUUAGAGUUUAGUUUAGAUGUCCAACCGUUCUUGCUCUUUCACGUUUGAUAUCAUGGAUAAUGUAUCCUGUAAGUAGUACAAAUGGGAUUUGGUUCUUGCUAUUCUA